This 889-nucleotide long non-coding RNA is filed under the name Chrysemys picta bellii (western painted turtle). Its description in RNAcentral is "lncRNA (ENSCPBG00000026587.1)". Lineage: Eukaryota; Metazoa; Chordata; Testudines; Emydidae. The record is from RNAcentral.
CAGCACUAUGAAUGACAGUGAGAUAAACUUAGGGUGAUCAGACAGCAAAUGUGAAAAAUCGGGACGGGGGUGAGGGUGGGUAAUAGGAGCCUAUAUAAGAAAAAGGCCCCAAAAUCGGGACUGUCCCUAUAAAAUCGGGACAUCUGGUCACCGUAGAUAAACUUCCCAUUACUCUGUGAAGCUGCAACUGCCCUGUCCUUGGCGUCUCUGUUUCUGGCCCCAGCAGGGAGUGUGUCACAGGAAACCCAAAGAUGGCAUAGGAAGUAUGGCAUCUCUACAGUACAACCACCACCGUGAUGGUGCAUCAGAUGAGUCUUGGGGAAAGCAGGUUAGAUAAAAUGACCAAUCUUGGCUAUACAAACUGGGAAAUAUAGGCACAGACAUGAGCAAACGUAAGGGUUCGCUUUGUCAAAAGAGACAUCAACAUCUGGCACAUUUAUCAAGGGUUGUGACAUUGCUUUGGUUUUUUCCAUAGCCCAGAGAAGAGGACCUCCUUCAAAAGCUGUAUUGGAAGCCAUCAGAUGUGGACAAGUAUGAAUUGGCAACAAUGAGUCUCAUAACAUACUAUGUGGAAAUUCCCAUAUAUAAAAAAAGUCAUCUGAUUUAUGAAAACACAUAUUACAGUUAAGACCGUAUGCUGCCAACAGACCAGACCAGAGGCCAAGCACUGAUGGCCACAAGGAACGUUUACACUUAAUAUAGCUUCUGGGACUUCUAAUCCAUACUGUCUGGAUGUUCACGUGAGGACAUGCGAUUUAGAUCCAGGACAAAUAAAGGAGCUGAGAAGCAGCAAACCGCCACAGUCUAGUUUUAAAAAAAUAAUGAAAAAAGGUGGGGGUUUUUGGUUGAAUUUUUAAAAAGCAAAAACAAAUCAUUAAAGGUCCUGAUA